UGGACCUUUAAAUCAGUCCCGUGAGGCUGGCAAGGUAACGUGAGAGAAGGAUCGUUAUAUAGCGGUGCGCUGUACCGUUGUGUCCUUCCGUAUCAUUAUGCGUGUAAGCAACUCCUUGCCGAUUGGGGCAAGGAGUUUUUUCGC
Molecule: small RNA, 144 nt
Filed under: Paenibacillus sp. CECT 9249
Lineage: Bacteria; Bacillati; Bacillota; Bacilli; Caryophanales; Paenibacillaceae
Description: PyrR
Rfam family: PyrR binding site
About the family: This family represents the PyrR binding site and terminator structure. This RNA structure is found upstream of a variety of genes involved in pyrimidine biosynthesis and transport. The alignment also includes a portion of the antiterminator structure.
Source: RNAcentral